Brassica napus (rape) is the source of this 484-nucleotide long non-coding RNA. RefSeq lists it as uncharacterized. The record is from RefSeq and is a predicted model, not a curated record. Lineage: Eukaryota; Viridiplantae; Streptophyta; Magnoliopsida; Brassicales; Brassicaceae. The transcript is spliced from 3 exons.
CUCCUGAAGAUUUGGAGGAGCAUCCUAAUGAUGAGGAAGAGGUGGAGGGAAUUGAUCUGCACCAGCAACGUUACCCGUGGGAGGGAAGUGACAUGGAUUACUUAUACGACGAGGUAAGCAUAUCAUUAGAUGGUUUGCGGUCCAUCUUUGAGAGCCGUCGAUUGUAAGUGUCUAUCGUUUUGAAGUUGUACUACACUAAGAUGUAAAGAAUUACUAAUCACGAUUACCUUACUAGCAGAGUUCUUUUGCACAGUUAUUGUCAAUGGAAUUAACACUGGAAAUUGAUGGUGCUAUAUUUCAUGUUCCAAAUGCUAACGCAAGCUCCAAUGUUGAUUCUCAGCUUUAACAUGCCAAAAUCACAAUGCAGUGGGUGUUGUAAGUGAAAUCACUAAGCUUGCAAUGUGUCAGGACAUCAAAAGCAUCUCAGCUGAUGGUUAGCUUUACAAUUUCGUUGGUUUCUUUUUCCUAUUAUGUUGGAUGAAUU